GAUUAGAGUUUGAUCAUGGCUCAGAUUGAACGCUGGCGGCAUGCUUAAUACAUGCAAGUCGAACGGUAACAGGUUCUUCGGAAUGCUGACGAGUGGCGGACGGGGGAGUAAAGCGUAGGAAUCUGCCCAGUAGUGGGGGACAACCAGGGGAAACCCUGGCUAAUACCGCAUACACUCUACGGAGAAAAGGAGGCCUCUUCUUGAAAGCUUUCGCUAUUGGAUGAGCCUGCGUGAGAUUAGCUAGUUGGUAGGGUAAAGGCCUACCAAGGCGACGAUCUCUAGCUGGUCUGAGAGGACGAUCAGCCACACUGGGACUGAGACACGGCCCAGACUCCUACGGGAGGCAGCAGUGGGGAAUAUUGCACAAUGGGCGCAAGCCUGAUGCAGCAAUGCCGCGUGUGUGAAGAAGGCCUUAGGGUUGUAAAGCACUUUCAGUAGGGAGGAAAAGUUAGUCGUUAAUAUUCUUGAAUAUUGACGUUACCAAUAGAAGAAGCACCGGCUAACUCCGUGCCAGCAGCCGCGGUAAUACGGAGGGUGCAAGCGUUAAUCGGAAUUACUGGGCGUAAAGCGCGCGUAGGCGGUUAGUUAAGUUAGAUGUGAAAGCCCCGGGCUUAACCUGGGAACUGCAUUUAAAACUGGCUAACUAGAGUAUGGUAGAGGAGAGUGGAAUUUCAGGUGUAGCGGUGAAAUGCGUAGAUAUCUGAAGGAACACCAGUGGCGAAGGCGGCUCUCUGGACCAAUACUGACGCUGAGGUGCGAAAGCGUGGGUAGCAAACGGGAUUAGAUACCCCGGUAGUCCACGCCGUAAACGAUGUCAAAUAACUGUUGGGAGGGUUUCCCCUUAGUGGUACGCAGCUAACGCGUUAAGCACUCCGCCUGGGGAGUACGGCCGCAAGGUUAAAACUCAAAUGAAUUGACGGGGGCCCGCACAAGCGGUGGAGCAUGUGGUUUAAUUCGAUGCAACGCGAAGAACCUUACCGUGCCUUGACAUCCUCGGGAUUUUGCUGAAAAGCGAAAGUGCCUUCGGGAACCGAGAGACAGGUGCUGCAUGGCUGUCGUCAGCUCGUGUCGUGAGAUGUUGGGUUAAGUCCCGCAACGAGCGCCACCCCUGUCCCUAGUUGCCAGCACGUAAUGGUGGGAACUCUAGGGAGACUGCCGGUGAUAAACCGGAGGAAGGUGGGGAUGACGUCAAGUCAUCAUGGCCGUUAUGGGCUGGGCUACACACGUGCUACAAUGGUCGGUACAGAGGGCCGCAAAGCCGCGAGGUGGAGCAAAUCCCAGAAAGCCGAUCUUAGUCCGGAUCGCAGUCUGCAACUCGACUGCGUGAAGUCGGAAUCGCUAGUAAUCGCGAAUCAGCAACGUCGCGGUGAAUACGUUCCCGGGCCUUGUACACCCCGCCCGUCACACCAUGGGAGUGGGUUGUACCAGAAGUAGGUAGUCUAACCGCAAGGAGGACGCUUACCACGGUAUGGUUCAUGACUGGGGUGAAGUCGUAACAAGGUAACCGUAAAU
RNAcentral lists this ribosomal RNA (1512 nucleotides) under uncultured prokaryote. RNAcentral describes it as "partial 16S ribosomal RNA". It matches the Rfam family "Bacterial small subunit ribosomal RNA". The record is from RNAcentral.